RNAcentral lists this long non-coding RNA (228 nucleotides) under Elaeis guineensis (African oil palm). Its description in RNAcentral is "long non-coding RNA (EGUI_LNC007151)". The record is from RNAcentral. Lineage: Eukaryota; Viridiplantae; Streptophyta; Magnoliopsida; Arecales; Arecaceae.
CCGAUGAUUCGCUUAGACCUUCUACUGAUAUAUCAAUAUUACCGACAUAUAAUCAGUCAAUCUGCUCAACAUACUAUAACCAUUAUGAGCGAUUAUCGACUACGUGUCAUGAUAAUUAGUAGAAAUUAACGAUCCACUAACUCUACAAUUAUGAUCCAAUAAUUUAGUACCAUAAAAGUGGGACCACGUGCUCGACAGUUACAUCAGAAUCAUCUAUAAAAAGAGGGU